This 465-nucleotide long non-coding RNA is filed under the name Actinidia chinensis (golden kiwifruit). Its description in RNAcentral is "long non-coding RNA (ACHI_LNC006606)". Lineage: Eukaryota; Viridiplantae; Streptophyta; Magnoliopsida; Ericales; Actinidiaceae. The record is from RNAcentral.
AAAAGAAAAAGAAAGAAAGAAACCCAAUUCGAGAAACAAUCCCAUCAAACCAGAAAUACCAAAUCUUCAACUCAAAGUACUGCAAAUCAGUUACUCGUUCCAAGAAUCUCAAAGACAAAAAAUCGGUUACUCGUUCCAAGAAUCCCAAAGACAAAACAGGGAAAAAAGAAAGAAAGAAAGGUUCCCCUGGCUUAACCAACUAAAGUCGAAAAAGAAAAAGAAAGAAAGAAACCCAAUUCGAGAAACAAUCCCAUCAAAAAUCGGUUACUGUUCUAAGAAUCUCAAAGACAAACCAUCAGCCUACCGAAAACACAUAAAAGAAAGGUUCUUCUAAAUCAACUAACAGGGGGUGAAAAAAAAAUAGAAAGAAAGAAAGAAAGAAAGAAACCCAAUUCGAUAAACAAUUCCAUCAACCCAAAAAUACUAAAAUCUUGCUAAUAGGUUACUCAAAAUUCCAAAAAUCUC